UAUUUAUUGUAAGUUGUUACAUUUAGAUUUCUUUCUCUAGCAGCACGAUUUAAAUUACAGAUAUUCAAGGGCAGUUACCAUAAGUUGGAGUUUUCUUUUAAUGCAAGAUGUCAUUGUGUAAACAAAGACAGAGACAGAACCGUAGAUCAAAGUGUACCAAGACUGAGCACCGUGUAAACAUGAUGCUUAAAGGCUGAUGAACAACAUUUUUUUGUGUCUUUUCAGAUUAAAAAGAAAAACAAUGACAGAAAAACUUCUGACUGGAAUAAAUUAACAGCAACAGUAAAGAUAAAAUUAAAAUAAUAGCAAGCUUCUUUUGUGAGUGAGUUGUACAAUUUUACUGGGAGCUGACCUGGUUGCUUGCAGUCCACAUCAGUCACAUCUCAAAAGGUUCAGUGCCCGUUAUAUUAUGGUUUUGUUGGUUACAUGUUGGGUAGCUGGGUUACAUGUGAAUGAUUCAGAAGUGACACAAACCCACAACAGCAACAUGAAAAGAAAGCUCAUGAAAUGCGUUUCAUCAGGAUCUUUUUAUAUUCCAACAAUUCUUUUCACCCCGUUCCACUAAAGUGGAAGGUAGAUUAUUAUUUUGGCACAUUUCAUCCACCACAGAGACAUACUCAUUCUGUACUUAGUUGGACAUUUGCAGUUCGAGUUUCCCUCUUUUUAUUUAUUUAAUUGAAUUCCACAAAGCUCUAUAUUUUUUUAGGCUGUUUAUUCGUAAAGAAACUGUGUGACGUUCAGCAAAUAGGCUUAUUUUCUUUUCUUGAUGAGAGUAAAACAGGGACUGCAAGAAUGAAACUGGAGCCUGCUGCUAUUACAAAAAAAAGAAAAAAAUGGUUUUAUGUGAGGUUUAUUUCUAGCUUAUGGUUCAGUCACUCUAGAGGAAAAAUUAACAUGGCAAAAAUAAAACUAAACCAAUGGUCCCCUGGUGAAUACACUGAAUAUUUUGCAAUUGGUUGGAGACUGAUUGCAAGUGGUUGCAGCACCCACUUUCAAGUAUGAGGCAAUUUCACAGGUUGCCUAUUGGGGAGCGGCCUCUCAUCCACCAGGCAACCCAUUUCACCUGCAGAAAACAUGGCAUAAAGCAAGACGCGAGGGCAUUGAAAAUAAAGAAAUACCAGCAGUCAACUCAGGCUGACUAGAGUCACUCUGGUUUGCAAAUAAAUUGGCAUCUAAUUUAUAAAUACACGCAGACUGUACCAAAACGGCACACGGUUGCAAUAAUCUUGGUCAUGCCUCAGUCUCCAACCCCGUUUUUCCCUAGUGUGACUGCAGCAUUAAUAACCUCAGGUCAGGCUUGCAGUUUCUUCCCAUCUUCCCAAAUAAAUCUCACCAAAAAAAGUACACAAGUAUAUAUCAUCCGUUUUCCUUUUGACACUCCUCCCUGCAAUUUUCUUUAAACCUAGUUUGUUUGUUUUUAAACUGGAUGCAAAUAUUUUGUCUGUCUUGUUCCAUCAUGCAAAAAAAAUGCCAGUACAAGCAUGACUGAAUCUCUCUCACAAAGUCUAAACUCCCUAAUACUUUUUAAUUUUCUCUCUUUCUUGGACUACAGAUUUAAAUCACUGUGUGCCACAAGACUUGAGUCCCUCCAGUGCUAUUUUACAACAUGAGGUUGGGUUUAAACUAGAAGAUAUAAAAGUCUUUACAUGCUACAGUUAAGAACUGACAAUCAGUUUCCUCUGAUAAAUUUCAAAGUCAUACAUACAAGCAGUCAUCUUGAAGACUGGAGACAGUGAGAUGCUUUCUAUUGUCUUAAGACUUCACCCUUAAACUGGCUACUAUUCUCAUCUCUGCAUUUCAAUUCUGAAAAGGGAGGUCACAUCUGUUUAGUGCGGCAGGAUGAGGCUCCAAAUUUAAUAUACAUCUCACCCCAGACCACCUUCUGGACCAUUAGUGACCACAAAGAUUAAAUUUCACCUGUCAAAAUAAAGCAAUCAGGAUCUCGCUCAAGAGACAUGUCAAGCAACCAGUGAAAAACAGCGAAAAGUUGAGCCUGACUCUGGAUUAAAAAGCACUGUCCUGGUAAAUCUCUCUUCAAAUCAUGCAUGUGGAAAUAACUGACCAUAUCUGUUACUACAAAGAUGUUCAUUUAAUCAUUCGGGUAAUUCAUGAGACACUCAAAACAAGAAUUAAGUACCCAUAACCAUCAAUAUUAUAGUCAAACAUACUAGAAGAAAAAUAUGAACCUCUCAAAAGAGUUUCUCAUAUUUUUAAUUGUCUGCAUACUGCAGUACUUGAAUACAUACUCAUACAGUAUCGUUUAUAGCAAAUAACUGAAUUAUUUCAUUUAUUUAGCACAAAGCAUGCUGAAUAGAAAAAAAUGUCACUUUUCUAAUCGCCUAAAGUGACGGUAAAAUUCUUUUUUUCAUUUUCACCUGCAGAUAAUUUCUCGAUGACCGUGAUCUAUCUACAAAGGCAUGACAUAAAGCAAGAGGCUUAGGCAUCUAAAUCAAUAAAGAGAGAAGUGAUUGCCUAAAACUGUUGAGAACCAACUUCGAGCAGUACCCGCACGGACAAAAUCUCUUUCCGAGAGUAGCACAAACACCUCCAGAAGAGGUACAAAACAGACAAUAUGAGGGAGGAAUUAAACAUCAGUGCAAUUUUUUGCUGUAAAAUUGGCCCGUCUCUCCACUAACGGCUAAUAACAGAGUUUUAUAUGUGAUGUCACAAAGAGAGAAAGCGUAAGCCUGACAGGGGGAGAGUGAGACAGACAAGAAAACAAGAUCUUGAGGUCUGUUGUGAAGCAUAAAGAGGCACCAAAUCCAACUGAGGGAACACACAAAACCGACAUCAAUUAAUAAACCUUUCUUUAGCCAUGAUGCACUGUGGAAAGAAGGAAAACAAACACACACACACACACACACACACACACACCAUCAACCAUCCUACUGUCACUUCCAUUUCAGUUAAGGAGCUAAAUUUUCCUGACAAAAAAAAAAAAAAAGUUAAAAAAUAAUUUAGAUCUGAAUCAAACCUCAACUGAACAUUAAAAGUGGCUCAUUAGAGCUGAAUAAAUGGUCCCGUAAGUAACUUAUAACUGACUAGUCUAUCGUUUUGCCUUAGUGGAGUGUUUAACAAACACAAAGCCCACUUCUGCUCCACAUCGAUGCUACUGUAUAAACACAGUGAUAGUCUGACUGGAUGUGGCUACAAAAAGAACAGUAAGUUGAAGAAUAGAAAAAUAAGUUGCUGUUGCCACAGUGUUGCCACUCAUUUCAUCAUAUAAUUCACAACAUUCGUGGAGAGUCUACUGACAAACAACAAAGAUAAUCACAAUAAAAUAUGGAAUACUUCAUGGUGAGCGGGGUUUAUUUGAAUGGUUAGAGUGAAUUACUGCGACUUGCGUGUGGACAGUGCACACUUCAAAGGCAGAUACUGUCAUUGACUCGGCUAGCUUGUUUCCAUGUUUGCGCCAGCUCCAAAGCCCUUAUAAAGUGAGACUAUGUAACUUUUGAAUGAGUCAAUAACACGGUCUCACUCUUAGAGAUAAAACAAUUAUAUUCAUAAGCAGUAAAACAAACUCUUUCCACUCAGUAUACUCAAAGUUUGGAUGUAACUAAGACUCCUGUCACACAGGCGUAGAGACCAGUUGGAGACCACUUGGCAACCAUCAGUCACAGUGGAAAAAGGAGCAGUUUCAAACCAGGUGUGAGAGGAUUCUGGAUGUUGCUUGCCAUCUCUGAAACUGAUAGCAAAGUAGUAUACGAUGAGUAGAUUGCUACAGUUGCCCUAAGUUUGCGUGACACUGACUUGUCUGCGUUUGCCGACUACUCGCCAAGAGGUUUUAAAACUGUAAAGAGUGCAACGCCUUCAAAGUAAAAGCUGCACCUUUUGAAACGUGUUGCUUCAGCCAUAGAUCGUAUACAACACAGAUGUAGCUCCUGUAUGUCUUGAAAGACAUACAGGCCAGCAACUGCUCACCAAUUGAUCAGAGUUUUUUUUUCUACAGCGAUCAGUUUGCCAAGCGUUCACCGAGCAGUCUUUAGGCCUGACAUUACUGAGUGUGUUUGCUAACUCUAUGACUUGUGCUACUUCUAAACAACAUUUUGUUUUAACCCUGAAGUUGUAGUAGGCAGAAAUAUGGAUUUUUUUUUAAAAAAAAAAAAGAAAAAAGAAAAAGAAAGGGGGGGGGGUUGACAAAACAAUUACAGAAUAAAAAAAGAAAAAAGAAAAAUCAUCCCUCCUCCUGCCACUCUCCCCUCUCUCUUUCAAGCCCCACUAACAGGUCGAGCAUAGGAAUAUGGUUGUAUGUCACUCCCCUUCUGGUUUCACAUUCCCCAACGUUAAGUCUCUGGCUUAGCCCAUUGUACCACCUUAUCCGCUGUUCUUCAUCCUCGUCUUGUACUACUCACCCAAUCUGGUCAGAAGUGGGAGAAGUUUGCCUUUAAGUCUUUUUGUAGUAGCACUUUGAUAUUGUUUCCGGUUACUGUUUAGUUGAGUAGUCGAGUAGAUUUUAAUUCAUUAGAUUUUAGUUAAAGCACUAAAGGAAAGCUCUCCCGUGUGUGAUUUGGUCUGUAAGGACCUGUAGUUGAUCAAAAUUGUUUAUCACAGGCAUCACAAGCCCAGAGGAGAUGCAGGAGUGAAGUUCUUUUUCAGAUCAUAAAAACUACGGAUAUAUUUUUCUUUAAACACUUACUGCUGUUUAAACACCUGCCUACCCCUACUUUGGCAACAAAAGGUUUUUCCUACCAAAAGUUACAUAGUCUUAGGCUUUAAAAAUGAUAAGGACAAAUCCUUGGUGGUCCCCUGUUUACCCCACUGUCUAAUAACAUGCUACUGUCAGGGUAACAUGUUUGUCACAGAAAGUCAUGAUUUGGUUGAUCUUUAAAUAAAUAAAAUUUAUUCCUUCAGUCAGGUAAUACUGCACAGGGUCAGCUACAAGUCUUGUAGCCUGAGUAAUGACAGUUUUAUGACAGUCAAGUUGAAUUCCAGUCAUCUAGGUUACCAAGACUCCAGCACACAGCCACAUAAUGUCAGACAACACAUUUAUUUGUUUUCAUCAAGGUUUCUUGUUUUUUUUUUUUAUCAUCACGAAGGCAUAUACUAUUUACUCUGUAUAUUAUUUGUUUUGUAUGUAUGUAUAUGUAUAAACAAAAAUAAGCGUACAUUUUUGCUGAAUAAGAAGAAUAUCAGCAAAGGGCAAUGUAAACCAUGGUCCAUCUAAAACAGGUGAAAGGUGCAUUAGCUCACCCUUUCCCAACUCACCCACAGUAACAGAUUUGCAUAGGCAAAAAUGGGAUUAGCCCUUAGACAGUGGAUUCCUGAAUUCUUUAUAGAGAUGCAAAAUCUAGUUCAGCUCAACACAAGUUCAAAACAAACACACAUACAAACAAACAAACAGAAAUAUGUUGACUAGGCCAAACUCUCUUUAACCCCUCUGGUCAUAUACAUAGUCAUUUUCUGUGCACAUUUUUGUUUACAGUGUUAGGCUUCAAGUAGAUCUAAAAACAACUUUUACAUUGACAACUAGAUGUGAAAUAAAUUAACCAACAUGAGAGGUAGUGAAAAGCCUACAGAGACGUUUGUUUUCUUUUUUAUACAAAGAAAAAAAAAACAUGUCAGUAAGGCCAAAGCUUCGCAAACCUCCUCCAUCCCGUUAGGACACUUCAGCUCUAGCUCGCAACCUUUAUUUAAUAUUUUUCUUUAUAUAUUUUUUACUCAAUAAAACCAUAGCCACAUUUUAAAGACCCUCUCACUUGGAAUCCAUGGAAAUUUAAAGACAAAAAUCUAAACUUAGCGAUGACAACUAUAUCACUUCACAUCAUCGUCAUUGCUUGCAAAAUCCACAUUUAAAACGCAGGUAUUAAAAAUAAACAACUGUGUACUUCUCCCCGCUGUGUAAAAGUCACAAUAAAUUACGAGGAAUGGACGCGAGCAGAAAACCUGGGUUUCUACCGUGUCUGUCCUCCUUGUAAAACGCUCCCAGUUUUAAACUCCAGCUUGCCCGUUAGCCCUGGGCAGAGACUCGCGCCAGCUUCAAACCUGCUGGCUGUUAGCUUCCCACAGUUACGAGUAUUUAAUAAGGUACACACAUCUCACAAUUUAUAAAUGUAAACUUGUUUUGAUUGCACCAUGAUUUCAAUAUCUGGUUGUUGGUGAAACAUUCUCAUGUUACUUAUAUAGACUCUGAAAAAAACCUGCAAAAAAACAAGGAAAUGUAGUUCUAGUGUGCAGAAGAGGGAUGUGUCUGCAUGAGAGCUUUAUGAGUUAAAAAGUUCCAGAGUUGUCCAAAUACAAAUGUCUAAAAUGCUUUCACUUUGUGAAAAGGUAAAACUGUUCCAAGGAGUGAGAGUGAAAGCUGAUCUUGCGGUAUCAGAAUUGGUAAAUUACUCUGUAUUCCUCUGUUUCUGGUCAACUGGGCGCAUGCAUGCAGAACUCUUCAUUAAAGCAGCCAAGCAAUAUCAGUUCAAGCCCUUAUGGAUAUUCACAUAGCCUGAAUGUGAGUACUAUAUUGCCAAAGGUUAAACAAGAGUAUAUUUUUAAUAAGGAACACUGAAAAACUGUGGCGUGGUUAUUAGUUUCAACCUGUCUUCCUGACCAUUAUUCACAGCAGACAGCUUUUGUACUACUGUGACAUCCUGUCUGUUUCUUUUGUUGAAAUAAGUCUGGAGGAAACAUCAAAAUCCCAGGCUCCUGCAAAGGAUUUUUUUUGUAUUCAUUCGUUUCCUUAUUUAGUUUCUCCAACAAAACCUGAAGUUGCAGUUUAGAAACAGUGGCAACAAACAAAAACUUUAUAUCCUGAAAGGUGUUUAUUAAUUAACUUUCCGACAAGUGAGACAGAGCCUCAAAUUGACAUCCAAUUGCAUUUCAAAGGCCUGCUAGGCGUCGUGCAACAUCCGCUCUUAUAAUUAAUCUAGACCAAGCUUGGCACAUGAAUGUUAGGUAGUUAAAGGAGCCAGAAACAUGGAUGCCGACAUUAAUCAGUGAGGAGUGGCACCGUUUCAUUGACACUCUAAGAUGUGGCACUACUCACCCAAACAAGCCAGGAGGUCAGCUACCUAUCGAGUGCUGAAUACACUCAGAGGCUCAGUUAAUUACAAAAAAAAAAAAAAAAAAAAAAAAAAAGCAUAUACAGCACUCAUGCACUGUCUAUUGUACAUCCACAUGUUCAUGUGGAUGCACAUGUUCAUGUUCAAAUGUUUACAUCAUUAAAAGAAAAAAAUCCUUUCAUGUAUUAAAAAUGUUAAUGGGAGGCUUGGCACAACCGCUUAAACUCUCCUCUUUUUUUCUCUGGUAAAUGUGUCACUGUACCAUAAACACACGGCCGUUACCGUAGCAUGCUGUCAAAGUCUGAUUAGAAAAACAAACCAGAGUGUGCGCGAGGGCUGGCAGUGGAGUAGAAAAUUAGCAUGGCUAGCACAAGCAUGCUAACUGCUUGACUACAGCAUGCUGAAACCUAGACGGCUAGUUGAAAAGGCGAGUGUGUAGCAUGACUAUGCAAGCUUCUUUUACUAGCCCCGUGUGCAAGCGUUGUUAUUACCAACCCUCUUCACUAGCUCUGGUAUGAAGAAACAAGCGUCUUGAACAGGCAGUAGCUAACUGAAGGACCACCACACGGCAGAAGGACCAAGGCUCCACAGCCUAGCGACCAGUACUGACGUCAUCACGGCAUCUCUGACAUCGUGUUUGGGACCUGGUUCGGCGUAACUGCUUAUAACAGGCAUCCAAUCUCCGGUUUUUAGCCACAACUAAAGCUAAAGCCUUACAGACAAAAGCCAGGGUUUGAUAACCUUUUACAUUACACCCGCGCCUGCAAUUUCUGCUACUGUUCUUAAAGCAGAAGCGGCUUUCUAUAAUGCUCAAAAAUUCACUGUAAAACACUACAAGGUAAGCCCUCUUUUUC
This is a long non-coding RNA of Astatotilapia calliptera (eastern happy), 7843 nucleotides long. NCBI's taxonomy places the organism in Eukaryota, Metazoa, Chordata, Actinopteri, Cichliformes, Cichlidae. The record is from Ensembl.